AUGGAUGUAGCUCCGGCCAUGGAUGCAGCUUUCGUUUGCAGCUCCGGUUGUCAGGGAGCAGUAGCGGAUGCAGCUGAGAGAGGAAAUCGUGGUGAGGGCGCUGGCUCAGGGGUUGGCUUUGUGGUGCUCGCCGGAGGAGAAGAUGAAGAGAGAGAACACGAGGAGAUUGCUUGGGCGCUAGAGGAAGAAGAAAGACUAGUGGAUGAGAAAGCUGCGGAGAAGAUAAGAAAGAGGAACACAUGUUGCGAGGCUCACCAAAAACAGAUACACGAGAGAUGCAUGAUCAGCUUUAAUCGCUCGCACGCCAUGCGGCCGGCAGCCCGGCUAUAA
RNAcentral lists this ribosomal RNA (330 nucleotides) under Triticum aestivum (bread wheat). Its description in RNAcentral is "partial small subunit ribosomal RNA". The record is from RNAcentral. Lineage: Eukaryota; Viridiplantae; Streptophyta; Magnoliopsida; Poales; Poaceae.